This 361-nucleotide unclassified non-coding RNA is filed under the name uncultured Basidiomycota. RNAcentral's name for it is "sequence contains ITS1". The stretch from base 1 to 105 matches the Rfam family "5.8S ribosomal RNA", at positions 50 to 154 of the family's 154-position model. Lineage: Eukaryota; Fungi; Basidiomycota. The record is from RNAcentral.
GAAUUGCGAUAUGUAAUGUGAAUUGCAGAAUUCAGUGAAUCAUCGAAUCUUUGAACGCACAUUGCACCUUCUGGUAUUCCAGAGGGUAUGCCUGUUUGAGUGUCAUCAGCAACUCAAUGCAAAAAGGUCUUGCUUGCCUUGUUGUAUUUGGAUUUUGAAGGUCUGCUGAAGAUGAUUCAGCUCCUUUUAAAUGUAUUAGCAAAGUCUAUCAGACAGUCAGAUUUUGGUUUGAUAACAUUUUUGAACCAGACUUGAUCAUUUUGAUAGCAUGCUUCUAAAUGUCUCUGAUGGAGACUGCCUUCAUAAAGGCAUGCAUCUUGAAUUUGGCCUCAAAUCAGGUAGGACUACCCGCUGAACUUAA